RNAcentral lists this ribosomal RNA (408 nucleotides) under uncultured bacterium. Its description in RNAcentral is "bacterial SSU rRNA". It matches the Rfam family "Bacterial small subunit ribosomal RNA", at positions 30 to 436 of the family's 1533-position model. The record is from RNAcentral.
AUUGAACGCUGGCGGCGUGCUUAACACAUGCAAGUCGUGCGGUAACAGGCGUAGCAAUACGUGCUGACGAGCGGCGAACGGGUGCGUAAUACAUGGGAAUCUGCCCUUUAGUGGGGAAUAACCCGGCGAAAGCCGGGCUAAUGCCGCAUAAGAUCUUCGGAUGAAAGCGGGGGAUCGUAAGACCUCGCGCUGAUGGAUGAGCCCAUGUCGGAUUAGCUAGUUGGUGAGGUAACGGCUCACCAAGGCGACGAUCCGUAGCUGGUCUGAGAGGACGGCCAGCCACACUGGGACUGAGACACGGCCCAGACUCCUACGGGAGGCAGCAGUGGGGAAUAUUGGACAAUGGGCGAAAGCCUGAUCCAGCGACGCCGCGUGUGUGAAGAAGGCCUGCGGGUUGUAAAGCACUUU